Molecule: long non-coding RNA, 2401 nt
Organism: Oncorhynchus tshawytscha (Chinook salmon)
Lineage: Eukaryota; Metazoa; Chordata; Actinopteri; Salmoniformes; Salmonidae
Source: Ensembl
CCCAUGAUUAAAGUGGCUGGAGUAGAGUCAGUGUCAUUGACAGUGUGUUGGCAGUAGCCACUCAAUGUUAGUGGUGGCUGUUUAACAGUCUGAUGGCCUUGAGAUAGAAGCUGUUUUUCAGUCUCUCGGUCCCAGCUUUGAUGCACCUGUACUGACCUCGCCUUCUGGAUGACAGCGGGGUGAACAGGCAGUGGCUCGGGUGGUUGAUGUCCUUGAUGAUCUUUAUGGCCUUCCUGUAGCAUCGGGUGGUGUAGGUGUCCUGGAGGGCAGGUAGUUUGCCCCGGUGAUGCGUUGUGCCGCCCCGGUGAUGCGUUGUGCGAGAGAUCUGGGUAACUGAAGCUCCAGUAUAGAGAUCUGGGUAACUGAAGCUCCAGUAUAGAGAUCUGGGUAACUGAAGCUCCAGUAUAGAGAUCUGGGUAACUGAAGCUCCAGUAUAGAGAUCUGGGUAACUGAAGCUCCAGUAUAGAGAUCUGGGUAACUGAAGCUCCAGUAUAGAGAUCUGGGUAACUGAAGCUCCAGUAUAGAGAUCUGGGUAACUGAAGCUCCAGUAUAGUUAGGAAGCCUGAUGAACCAAACCACUCAUCUAUCUGAUAUCAACACAUUUCAUCACUUUACUGCAGACUGAAUGGGAUCUUUCCAGGGUAACUUGUCAUCUAUUAAAACUCCCUGGAAUCUACUGGAUGUGACUUGUUCCGUUUCAUUCACACCAAUUGAGAUUCUGGCUCUUUAACAAUAUUUCUUAUUCUUACUAUUGAAUACAAUAACAUAGGAUUUUGUUUUAUUUAAAGAUUAAUUGUGUAUUUGGAACCAUUCAGAAAAUUUGGCAAUGCCUGUGUUAGCUUAAUUAAUUAGUGAAUCAAAAGUAUUGUGUUAUAAAAUCUAAUUGAUGUCAUCAGCAAAGAGAAUGAGAAGUACAGUAGAAGACAAAGCAGUAAGGUUAUUGAUAUAGAUUAGAAUGGAUUGGUAGAAGACACGGUAACAAGGUUAUUGAUAUAGAUUCGAAUGGAUUGGUAGAAGACACAGCAACAAGGUUAUUGAUAUAGAUUAGAAUGGAUUGGUAGAAGACACAGCAACAAGGUUAUUGAUAUAGAUUAGAAUGGAUUGGUAGAAGACACAGCAACAAGGUUAUUGAUAUAGAUUAGUGUUAUGGUAGAAGACACAGUAACAAGGUUAUUGAUAUAGUUUAGUAUGUAAUGGUAGAAGACACAGCAACAAGGUUAUUGAUAUAGAUUAGUAUGGUAGAAGACCCAGCAGUAAGGUUAUUGAUAUAGAUUAGUAUGGAUUGGUAGAAGACAGCAACAAGGAUAUAGAUUAGUAUGGAAUGGUAGAAGACACAGUAACAAGGUAUUGAUAUAGAUUUGUAUGUUAUGGUAGAAGACACAGCAACAAGGUUAUUGAUAUAGAUUAUGUUAUGGUAGAAGACACAGCAACAAGGUUAUUGAUAUAGAUUAGUAUGGUAGAAGACACAGUAACAAGGUUAUUGUUAUAGAUUAGUAUGGUAGAAGACUCAGCAGUAAGGUUAUUGAUAUAGAUUAGUAUGGUAGAAGACUCAGCAGUAAGGUUAUUGAUAUAGAGUUGAAGUCUGAAGUUUACAUACACUUAGGUUGUAGUCAUUAAAACUCAUUUUUCAACCACUCCACACAUUUCUUGUUAACAAACUAUGGUUUUGGCAAGUCGGUUAGAUCUACUUUGUGCGUGACACAGGUCAAUUUUCCAACAAUUGAUUACAGACAGAUUAUUUCACUUAUAAUUCACUGUAUCACAAUUCCAGUGGGUCAGAAGUUAACAUACACUAAGUUGACUGCCUUAAACAGCUUGUAAAAUUCCAGAAAAUGAUGUCAUGGCUUCAGAAGCUUCUGAUGGGCUAAUUGACAUAAUUUGAGUCAAUUGGAGGUGUACCUGUGGAUAUAUUUCAAGGCCUACCUUCAAACUCAGUGCCUCUUUGCUUGACAUUGGAAAAUCAACAGAAAUCAGACAAGACCUCAGAAAAAUAUUUGAGACCUUCAAAAGCCUGGUUCGUCCUUGGGAGAAAUUUCCAAACGCCUGAAGGUACCACGUUCAUCUGUACAAACAAUAGUACGCAAGUAUAAACACCAUGGGACCACGCUCCAAAACCGCCGUAAAAUAGCCAGAUUACGGUUUGCAACUGCACAUGGGGACAAAGAUGGUUCUUUUUAGAGAAAUGUCCUCUGGUCUGAUGAAACAAAAAUAGAACUGUUUGGCCAUAAUGACCAUCGUUAUGUUUGGAGGAAAAAGGGGGAGGCUUGCAAGCCAAAGAAUACCAUCCCAACUGUGAAGCACGGGGGUGGUAGCAUCAUGUUUGCUGCAGGAGGGUCUGGUGCACUUCACAAAAUAGAUGGCAUCAUGACGGAGUAAAAUGAUGUGGACAUAUUGAAGCAAC